RNAcentral lists this transfer RNA (87 nucleotides) under Aphanocapsa feldmannii 277cV. RNAcentral's name for it is "tRNA-Ser". It matches the Rfam family "tRNA". Rfam says of the family: Transfer RNA (tRNA) molecules are approximately 80 nucleotides in length. The record is from RNAcentral. Lineage: Bacteria; Bacillati; Cyanobacteriota; Cyanophyceae; Chroococcales; Microcystaceae. RNAcentral also lists the same sequence under 2 other names.
GGAGAGGUGGCAGAGUCUGGUUGAUUGCGCAGCACUCGAAAUGCUGUGAAGGGAGACCUUCCGUGGGUUCGAAUCCCACCCUCUCCG